CAGCUGGUAGUGUAGUGGCUUGAGCCUUGGCCUUUUGAUACAAAGGUCAUGGGAUCCAAACCCACCUCCAGCUGU
This 75-nucleotide transfer RNA is filed under the name Scleropages formosus (Asian bonytongue). Its description in RNAcentral is "tRNA-Lys". Lineage: Eukaryota; Metazoa; Chordata; Actinopteri; Osteoglossiformes; Osteoglossidae. The record is from RNAcentral.